UCCCUGGUGGUCCAGUGGCUAAGACUCUGAGCUUCCAAUGCAGGGGGCCAGGGUUCAGUCCCUGGUCAGGGAA
Bos taurus (domestic cattle) is the source of this 73-nucleotide non-coding RNA. NCBI's taxonomy places the organism in Eukaryota, Metazoa, Chordata, Mammalia, Artiodactyla, Bovidae. The record is from Rfam.